RNAcentral lists this long non-coding RNA (777 nucleotides) under Solanum tuberosum (potato). RNAcentral describes it as "long non-coding RNA (STUB_LNC000472)". Lineage: Eukaryota; Viridiplantae; Streptophyta; Magnoliopsida; Solanales; Solanaceae. The record is from RNAcentral.
UGUAUUCUACUGCCAUUUUUAGUGUUUAGUUCGGAUGCUUAUUUUCUUCGAUGAUCCAAUUGAUGAGAUUCCUGAUGGUUGAUGGGUUAUAGAUGGACGCCUGCGAAGUACUAAAUUUUGGAUCUUUUGAAAACCUCGUAAAAUGGUCCUCUCUUUUGGUGUUCUUGCUGCUUAUCUUCUCUGCUUCAUUUUUCUUGUAUUACGCUAGCUUGAUCUUGUUUGUUGAAUGUGGAUGUGUCAUGACAGUUGAGAGGAAUAAACUUGGAAGAUUUUGAAGGUUGGUGGCCUAAAUGCAUUUCUCUGCACCUUGUUUCUUGGCCAUAUUGGUGCUUGAACUUCAAUCUGGAGAUUAUCAAGCUUUGAAAGAAGGCGGUUCUCAAUUUUGUCUGGCAUUUGUAGUGAAUUCCGUGGUGGUAUGGUCUUCGCCAGAUUUGCACUUGAACUGUUCCAUUCUUUCUGUGCUUGCAGCUGCUGUGUAAGGUCUUACAGAGCGAUAAAUUCUUCUUUUCAUGGAGCGGCAUGAUCUGUCAAUUUAGUGUUGAGGUUUAUUGUUUGAUGCUCUAAUGAUUGAGAUCUUCAAUUCAGUUUUCUUCCCUAAUCAGAAUGGUUCACUUCUCUCUUGUCAACACUGCUUCACUAGUGUGUAUUUUGUUGCGAUAUUUGUUUGUAAUAAUCCAGAUGCUUAUGUUCUUUGGUUAUCCAACUGACGAGAUCUCCAUGGUUAUGGACUACACUUGAUAAGUGUAUUCAAACUCAAUCAUGUUCUUCUGAUGGCCC